AGGCCUUGGUGGGGUCUGUCAGCCCUGAAUCAACUUCCAGCCUUCCAAGCAGGUGGCCAGGUCCCAGGGGAUGCAACUGCAGGGCCAUGACCAGCUCUGUCCACCCUGCAGUGGAGUGACCAGAGAAAAUCCUGAUCUCCAUCAUCUCCUGCUAGUGCUCCCUGGAGAAUAGAUAGUCAAAAAGUGAUAUGGUUGCAUAUCACAUCCAGUUCUUGAGUCUGUGCACUGCCUACACAACCAUUGCUGUUGCUUCAAACAAGCAGUCCUAACGCUUUCUACUGUGAGCAGCUCAGCUCCCUUGGCUGCAGGAGUGUCAUGGGGAUGAGCAGAUGAUGCCUGCUUAGAACUUCUUGUGGCUGGGAAAGGACUGUGCUAGAGGUGCAGUGAAAAGUAUUUUUGUCAGUAAAACACUCUCCAGGGAAUCAUGGAUAAAACCACAUUUUCCAACCAGCUUCUGGCAGGGGAAGCCCAGGUGACCUCCUUGCAGCACAGUGUAAAGUCACAGAGGCUCCAGCUUGGCUCAGCCGCCUGCAGCCUGGGCAGAAGCAUUUCUCCUUUUCCAAGGCUUCAGAAGAGUCAGCAGCCAUCAGAUGGUGUGACAAAGGUGAUGGCACUCUGGAUUGGAAAAAAGGCACAAAAAAAACCUUUUGUGAAUAUUUACAUUAUGUUGUUGGACUUUUCCCUCCUUUCCACAUGAAGAGUGCCUUCCGUCAAAUAAUUGCUGAACCAGUUGAUCAAUUUCAAUCAAGUGGGACAGAAGGAGAGAGCUGUGAGACAUGAAGUUUCAGAAGAAAACAGGUUCUUUGAUUGUCGAUAAAUGCAGUAAACAACAGGCUGCUUUCUCUCAGAAGAAGUUAUAUGAAGUUGUCAUCCAUUUGAUGACCUGCAUUAGUGGAAAUCUGAACUGUAGUUUGGUGUUUCCACCCUCAUGGCAGAGUAAGAAGGAAUGAGAGCUCCUUCCCUAGGCCCUGUACCUCCUCCAAGCCCACAGCCUGGCUCUGCACAUAGGAAAAUGUGUGAAUGCUGUAACUCUGUCUCCUCCACUUGAAAGCAGAAGAAUUUAAUCAACUGAGGAGCUGAUCAUGGCUUUGGGACAGAGAGGAGGACUUGAGAGCUUCCAGGCAUCUCCUCUGCUCCAUCAGGUGCCUUUCUUCCCCAGGAGCUGCCUUCACAUCAGAGAGCACUCUGAAAGUUUUCUAGGUGUCAGACAAUCCUGGAGCCAAGAACCUCCAAACACGUUUCAUCCUCUGGUUUCCCUGAAACUUUAGUUACACCUUGAAGUUACUGGAAUACAUGUUCUGUUCAAGCAACCAUAUAUAAAAUUGCCUUGGGGAUCAGCUGAGACCUCGUGGAAGAAAUCUCAUUUGAAACAACAGGAAGGUACUUCACCUUGGCUCAAGCCACAGCACAACACAUGCCUUCUCCUCCUUCUCCAGCCCUGCUGUGAGUCAAAGGCAUUUUCAGAGCUGCUACUUUCCUGUGCUGAACAGCCUUGAGCCUCUUCCUGUUGCUC
Lonchura striata (white-rumped munia) is the source of this 1513-nucleotide non-coding RNA. Lineage: Eukaryota; Metazoa; Chordata; Aves; Passeriformes; Estrildidae. The record is from RefSeq and is a predicted model, not a curated record.